Mizuhopecten yessoensis (Yesso scallop) is the source of this 266-nucleotide long non-coding RNA. RefSeq lists it as uncharacterized. NCBI's taxonomy places the organism in Eukaryota, Metazoa, Mollusca, Bivalvia, Pectinida, Pectinidae. The record is from RefSeq and is a predicted model, not a curated record. The transcript is spliced from 2 exons.
UGUAGCAUUGUAGUUGACUGUACUAAUAAGCCGGACUUUAAAUUCGCUGACUUGGAAACUAGCUGUAGGUCUUACUACACCUGUCAUAACGGAUACUUCCAUGGCCAUAACUUCUGUUCCCCGGGUCUGGUAUUUGACGAGAGCAUGCAGAUCUGUAACUGGCCUUUCAAUGUGGUAACACCCUGUGGAACGAUUGAUAACAACUAUCUCGUCGGUUGAUCGGAUGAAAAUUGUUUAUGAGAAGACUUAAUAUACAGUCCAGUCUG